UCAACAACUUUAACUCCAUGUCUAUAUUAAUACGAUAAAUAUAUAUAAAUUAGAUAUGUCAAAUGUAGAUUGAAAUUAAUUAUGAUUUGUGAGAUUCACUAAUCGCAGCGCUAAUAUCUUUGUCUUCAUCCAUUAUAUUUUUUAGUGUGUCUCUUCCGUACAUAUUACCCACAAGAUCCCAAUAUAUGCUAUAUAUCAUAGUUUAUAUUAGUGUUAAAUAAAUACAAUGUAACUAAUAAGUUAGAAUUAGAUUUUUUUACGUCGAUUUAUUCAGCAUCACCCAAUCUCUAACUAUUGAAUACCUCUCCAUAGAAUAGUCCUCCAGAGGAUAACCUAAAGAUUUUAUCUUUCUAUUAUACUUCUCUUUUGUGGACAUUUCAGGUUGAGUUUGUUCAGGUCUUGCUUUCUUACCACGAAUUUUAUUGCUAGAGCCAGAAGUAUCUUCCUGUAAACAACCAACAAUAGCUUCAAUAUCAGACAUUCUAUUCAACAUGUUGUUGUUUUGUUCAUCAAUGUAAGAUCUCAUCGAAGUUAAACUAUUGUCCACAUAAGAUUCCAUGUGAGAUUGCAUUCUCUAAUAGUGAUAAUUCCUGCCAUUUUGGUUGUUGCUGAAAAAAUUCUUUCUGAUUAUCAAGAAUUGCUUGAUAAUUAGUUUCUUGUCUUCUUGAUUGUUCAGCCGUGUGUGUACCAAAAAAUCCUAGCAGAAAGCUUGAGUCCACAUAUGAUACAGAUUGCAUGCCAAAUUGGUAGGCAGAGUGCAGCUCUUGAUAUUGAUAUUCGUGCCAUUUUUGCUUUUUUCAAACAUUUGCCUCUGGUUUUCAAGAUAUUCAGUUUGUUGUUUUCUUGAUUCUUCAACCAUGUGUGCCUUCAAGUUAUCGUAUAGACCAGAUACAUACUGCCUAUGUGUACUGAACAUCUCUUCCAUCUGUUCUUUUGUUACAUAGUUACAGUCAACAGAAGCAUAAUUAGGCUCCACUCCAACUGGAGUGUAUGUUCUAGAAGUAUAGCAU
RNAcentral lists this long non-coding RNA (1010 nucleotides) under Olea europaea (common olive). Its description in RNAcentral is "long non-coding RNA (OEUR_LNC007797)". Lineage: Eukaryota; Viridiplantae; Streptophyta; Magnoliopsida; Lamiales; Oleaceae. The record is from RNAcentral.